UAGGUGGCGAGCGUUGUCCGGAAUUACUGGGUGUAAAGGGCGCGUAGACGGGCAUGUAAGUCAGAUGUGAAAUACCGGGGCUCAACUCCGGGGCUGCAUUUGAAACUGCAAGUCUUGAGUGCAGGAGAGGGAAGCGGAAUUCCUAGUGUAGCGGUGAAAUGCGUAGAUAUUAGGAGGAACACCAGUGGCGAAGGCGGCUUUCUGGACUGUAACUGACGUUGAGGCGCGAAAGCGUGGGUAGCAAA
RNAcentral lists this ribosomal RNA (245 nucleotides) under uncultured bacterium. RNAcentral describes it as "partial 16S ribosomal RNA". It matches the Rfam family "Bacterial small subunit ribosomal RNA", at positions 528 to 772 of the family's 1533-position model. The record is from RNAcentral.